CCUGAUGCAGCCAUGCCGCGUGUAUGAAGAAGGCCUUCGGGUUGUAAAGUACUUUCAGUCGUGAGGAAGGUGGUGUUGUUAAUAGCAGCAUCAUUUGACGUUAGCGACAGAAGAAGCACCGGCUAACUCCGUGCCAGCAGCCGCGGUAAUACGGAGGGUGCGAGCGUUAAUCGGAAUUACUGGGCGUAAAGCGCAUGCAGGUGGUUCGUUAAGUCAGAUGUGAAAGCCCGGGGCUCAACCUCGAGACUGAUUGGAAAACUGGCGGACUAGAGUACUGUAGAGGGGGGUAGAAUUUCAGGUGUAGCGGUGAAAUGCGUAGAGAUCUGAAGGAAUACCAGUGGCGAAGGCGGCCCCCUGGACAGAUACUGACACUCAGAUGCGAAAGCGUGGGGAGCAAACAGGAUUAGAUACCCUGGUAGUCCACGCCGUAAACGAUGUCUACUUGGAGGUUGUGGCCUUGAGCCGUGGCUUUCGGAGCUAACGCGUUAAGUAGACCGCCUGGGGA
Molecule: ribosomal RNA, 505 nt
Filed under: bacterium KWD-1-8
Lineage: Bacteria
Description: bacterial SSU rRNA
Rfam family: Bacterial small subunit ribosomal RNA
Source: RNAcentral